AGAUGAGGACACUAAGGCACAGAAGGGUUAGUUGUCUUUUCAAGGACACAGAGCUGGCAAGAGGAUGCUUUUCCUUAGAGAAUUGCCCCUCCCCCAAACUGUCCCAGAGGCACUGUCAGUCACAUGGCCACCAGCUUCCCUACUGCAGGGCCUGCAGAGUUUUCUAUAUCCCCAUGCAAGGUGGAGAGAAUCUGCUUAAGACUAAAUCCAACACAAAGAAAGAAGAGCUGUGAAAUUGUGGUUUGGAGAGAGAAUGAGAGAAAAAUGACAAGAAUGGGCAUAAUUAUUUUGGUACCUGAAUUCAGCUACAUCUGGCCAGCCUGCCUCCAUACUUUUCAGUUUUGUUAUUCAAUAAAAUACUUUUCCCCCCAAUACUAGUUUGAGUUGGCUGUCACUUACCAGAGGAAUAGUUUGUAUUCACACAGAUUUAAA
This is a long non-coding RNA of Neofelis nebulosa (Clouded leopard), 432 nucleotides long. RefSeq lists it as uncharacterized. NCBI's taxonomy places the organism in Eukaryota, Metazoa, Chordata, Mammalia, Carnivora, Felidae. The transcript has 3 exons. The record is from RefSeq and is a predicted model, not a curated record.